AUUGAACGCUGGCGGCAGGCCUAACACAUGCAAGUCGAGCGGAUGAAGGGAGCUUGCUCCUGGAUUCAGCGGCGGACGGGUGAGUAAUGCCUAGGAACCUGCCUUGUAGUGGGGUAUAACGUCCGGGAACGGGCGCUAAUACCGCAUACGUCCUGAGGGAGAAAGUGGGGGAUCUUCGGACCUCACUCUAUCAGAUGAUCCUAGGUCGGAUUAGCUAGUUGGUGGGGUAAAGGCCUACCAAGGCGACGAUCCGUAACUGGUCUGAGAGGAUGAUCAGUCACACUGGAACUGAGACACGGUCCAGACUCCUACGGGAGGCAGCAGUGGGGAAUAUUGGACAAUGGGCGAAAGCCUGAUCCAGCCAUGCCGCGUGUGUGAAGAAGGUCUUCGGAUUGUAAAGCACUUUAAGUUGGGAGGAAGGGCAGUAAGUUAAUACCUUGCUGUUUUGACGUUACCAACAGAAUAAGCACCGGCUAACUUCGUG
This 484-nucleotide ribosomal RNA is filed under the name uncultured bacterium. RNAcentral describes it as "partial 16S ribosomal RNA". It matches the Rfam family "Bacterial small subunit ribosomal RNA", at positions 30 to 507 of the family's 1533-position model. The record is from RNAcentral.